UUUCAGCAAAAGUUCCCGAUAGAAUAAAAAGAUGGGUGUCGUGUCGCCAGUAAAUUUUGUAAGUUUUCCCUCCGUUUCCCAAAAUCCUUCCUCAAAAAAGUAAAGCAGCUAUCAUCGUUUGUUUGUUUGUUUGGAAGAGAAGAGAAAGCGAAAAUGGAAGAGUAUUUGCAGUGCAUGAAAACUCUCCGCUCCCAAAUCAAGGACGUGGAGGAUGAAGCCGCCAACAUUUCAGCUGAAGAGCAGAUUCACUUUACCACCAUUCAAACCUUACAAAAUGAUCUCCUUUCUGCAAAAUCCAAAACAAUGCAACUUAGAGAG
Molecule: non-coding RNA, 318 nt
Organism: Durio zibethinus
Lineage: Eukaryota; Viridiplantae; Streptophyta; Magnoliopsida; Malvales; Malvaceae
Source: RefSeq, a predicted model, not a curated record